CUUUUUAUUCAAUAAUAAUAAUACAAAGAUGACUGAUCCAAACAAUUUUAAGCUCAAACACAAUGUUAUAAGGUAAGAUAAGAACUAAUGUCACAAUAUUACAGGUAAAUCGUUUUUUUUCUUCCUGUUUUUCAAUUUUUAUCACUAUAAUAUUUUCUAUUCCAAAUCUUUAAGAUCCUCAUCCAUUGGUAUGGUAUAGAAGAAGUGUUCAAUUUGCUCGACUGCAUUAUCCUCGCCCUGUGUCUUGUUUCCUCUCUUUAUUGGAGCUAGGCUCUCCUUGUAAUUGAAAACCCAACAGCCAGCAAUGUUAAGGUCCAGCUGAAAUCCAAGAUCUGUAACUUGUCUUGUUGUAGGGUCAUAUAGCACCAGCUGUGAAGUUUCUGUGAUCUCAAAAACCAUGUUAUCGUUAUCCCAGAUGUUGCGAGGCCAAUGAGCAUCUAUAUGAGGUUGUACAGUUAGAACUUUGGACCAAAUUCCCUCUUGUUCAUACCCACACAUCAUAUAUGGAUGUCAUAGGUUUGCCAGGGUCACCGGUUAAUAAAGCAAGUGAGUUGCCACGCAAUGUAAGCGUCCCCCAAUGUUCACUUGGAAUAUCUGGGACUUGCAUCUCCCUAAACUGUUCGCUGCCCAUGUCAAAAGAGCGAAUCGUGUAGAUCUCAUCAAGGCCCCUAGAAAGCCAAUAAUAAACCCCGUUGAGAUAAGUGGCAUCAAGGGGUGCAGAUAAGGUAGAACUGGAAGGGAAUUCAGGAGUUAGGUGUUUCCAUGAGUUGUUGCAUGAGGAAUAAACACAGGCAUAGACACGAGGACAAACACCUUGUCCCGGUUCAUCCCAGAAUACUCGAAUCCAUACAACCUUAUAAUCUUGAGUCAACAGGUCAAAUCCCAAUCCGAACUGAUGAUCAUGGUCCGAGAAAAAGUACUCAAUCUCAAAAGGCGCAGGCGGCAGAGACCUGAACUCUCUGGUGGCAGGAUUCCACAAACCCAAGCAGACAUUGUCUCCAUAAAACUUCUUCUGCACUAAGAAUAAGCCAUCAACUGGACCAGCAACACACGUGAAAUCAGCGACCCUCGGAAGCUGAAGGAGAGUUUUUUGUUCAGGGGUCACACCUGGAACAAUUUCUUCAGGGAGCAAGGAGAAUACAACAGACCUUACGAUGGCGUCUACUUCACGUGCUACUUUCAAGUUGCAAACAAGGAGACGGGCACGAUUGUUCUUGUGAUGAAAAUGUUUUUCUAUGAAACUCGGACUUUUGAUGAGAGCAUACCAGUGCUUGCACACACAUUUGAAAAGCAAGAGUGAUUCCACUGGCAAUCUCAAUAGAAUAUCAACUACUAGAUCUUCUGGUAAAGGACAGCGACCAUCCAUACUGGUGGAAAUAUAAGUAGAAUGAGGCAACUUACAAACAUAUUGAAAGAGAGCAGAUCUAGAAAACAUGCAUUAAUAGAACACACAGUGCAACAAAAAAGAUCAAGUAGUAGCAUUACCAUGUGAAGCAAAAAAGGGGAAGUUACAAAUUUGACCACUCAGCCACAAAUAUUUACAUCCGCAAGCCAUUACACAUAUAUUAUGGGUAUACAUAUUUUUAAAAAUAUUUUGACAAAUCUUCUUGUAGAUCAAUUUUGGAGAAAAGAUCCAAAAUAGUUCCUUAUGUUUGGCUUCAGACUCAAGGUCAUCCCUUCCCUUUCUUUUAUAUGGUGCACUAAUAGUCCUUUAAGUUUCAAGUAUUAGUGCACUUUUAAUCUCUUCAUUAACAUCCAUUUACUCAUUAACGUUUUGAUCCUUUACACAUCCAUUUAUGGCCUCCGCUGUAUACGUUCUGGUAUAACACAAAUUAAUUCUUAGAUUUAUCUUAGCAGUUGCAGAUGAGUCUUCAUUUGUACUUGUUUUAUUUUUUGGCUCUGCAUCUUUCAUUGUUUGGUGUGCACCAUUCAAGAUUUGCUAAUUCUUUAACUUUCUCCUCUAUUUUCCAUACGCAAUUAAUAAGCUGACUAUAAGUCUUUGGGUUUUCCUGAAUAAAAGCUGACUAUAUAUCUGAAACAUAACCAAAGAAUAAAAUAAAAACAAGAAAAAAGGAAAAAUAUAAUACAUACUUAGUCUUCGUGUAUCAAUAUCUCAAAUUAGCAUCGGAUAAAAGUGCACUAAUACUUAAAACUUUGGAGGACUAUUAGUGCACCAAUUGAUGAUUUCGAAUCUAAAGCCAAAAAUAAAGGACUAUCUUGUAUUUUUUCUUUCGAUUUGGGCUGAUAUGGUUUGGACGGAUCAAUAAUCAGCCAAAUAGAGUCAAUAAGAGGAGACUAGUAAAGAAGUAGUCAUGCGGUUUUCUAGUCUUUUCAUUAACUAGUCAAUAAUUAUUUUUAAAGCUACAUAUCAAGUUAGCAUAUAGAGCAAUUUUGCAGGUAAUUUAAGGAUUAAGGAGCAUGAAACAGUAAUUACCCUUUUCUACUAAUAUCAAUCUACAAAUCCUUGGAAAUGGAACAAUUUUAACUUGCCCAAUAUUGAAAUGUAAAAGAUGGAAAGAAAUAAAAAGAAUUAGCAUAAACAGAAACAAUGACAGCAAAACCCUAUAUCCAUCCCCAAAUAGCACAAAUUCAGAUUCAGAUUCAGAUUCAAAUUCAAAAAAAUAAUCAGAAAUCUAACCUUAUAAGCUGAUGAAGAAGAAGUGCCGCAAUUACGACAAGGUAAAAAUGGAAAAAGAGAUUGGAUUGAUUGAGUGGUGUUGUAGAAAUACCUCCAACAGUUGACUACUUCCUCACUUUCCUACACUUCUUUUGUCAUUUUAGUUUAUAUAACUCCCCUUAAUUCCUUUUAUCCAAGUUUUUAAUACCAAGGGAUAUGAUGGAGUAAUAAGUACUUAUUCAUUGUUAAUUAGAGGUCUUGGAUUUGAAUCUUUUGGCUAUGAAGUCAUCCGUGUUAGGGAGCACUUUACCCAUAAUGUGAGAUUUUUCGACUGGGCUCUAAUAUGGAUACCGAACAUUGAGCGAUUUUUCUUUUUUUACCUUAGUGGUCAUUUGGUAGGUGGAUAAAGCUACAUCUAAUACAUGAAUCACUACAAGAAAAGUGCUGAUUACCUGGGAAUUAUUGUAGAGAAUAUAUGAUAACCCUAAUGGGUGGAGGGAGGACCAAUUUAUAGAGGUUAUGAUUUAAUCUGGUAUAUCCAUCAAGUAACCAAUGUACGGACGAGAUCUAUUCCUUAUUAAAUAUUAUUUAUGGUAUUACUUGCGUUACUAGUAAACUUGAGCCAUAAGUAAGAAAUAAUUAAUAAUAAUUAAUAAUAAUUCUUACACUUCGGGGUGCCUUCGCCAUAGUUCAAGUCUGGAGUCGGCCAUUUCAGUUCUUGAAAGCUUUUAAUCUAGCUAGUGUUAUUCAUAGUACUUCCGUGUACUUAUCGACCUUAUGUGAGUCCAAACUCGUUUGAGUUAUACAUUUACUUUCUAAUUGUGCACGAGUAUACAUACUUUCUAGGCUUAUAGAGGUCCAGUUAGGUUAUAGAUUAUUGCUUUACUUUACUACUUCGUUCUUUUCAGACUCGUGAGCUAUAUAGUUAGACUUUCCGUUAUUGCUUUGUUCAUUUGACCUCUAAUUACUGUUACUUUCAUAUUCUUCAUAUUGUUUUUACUUUCCAAGUUCAGUUGACCUAUGAUGCCUACUGGACACCUGUUGUUCUGAUAUUCAUGCUACACUCCACAUCUGUUUUCUUGAUGUGGAUUUGAGCGCCAGCCGACAACGGUGAUUGGAGCCUAAGUAAUGCGGAGAUCUUCUGAGAUGAAUGGUGAGCUAAUGGCGUCCUAGUUCGACUUAUCUCCAUAUGUAUAUAAUUUUUUACAUGUCUUUUGUAUUCGAGACAAAUUUAUUAAGUUAGUCAAUAGCAUAGGCUCGAAACUAUGACUAGAACAUUGAGUGCAUGACAUGCACAUCUUACUCCUUACUUUCCUUAUUCGUGCCUGUUUUUUUCAUACUUUCUAACUUUCACUAGUACAUUAUCCCUUGUUAAGGAAAAUUAUGUAAACAAAAUAGUAAAUGGCCUGAUCCACUUAAGAGUGAGGGCUAGUUCAUUGAUUGAUACAGCUAAAUCACAUUAAAUAAUAAAUACGGAGGAGGGCCUAAAAUACCCUUCAAGUAUAGGUAAUGGAACAAAAAUACCCUCUUCCACCUUUAGGCUCCAAAAUACCCUUCCAUCCAUCUAUAUGGACCUAUAUUACCCUUUCACUUAACAGAUUCUUUAAGACUAAUAAUUAAUCUUUUCAUUAAUGAUGUGACAGUCUUUAAUUGGUUGAAAUUGGAAUUAACCAAAAUAAGAAUUUCUCUUAAUUAAACCCAGAUCCAACUAAAUUCCACCCGACUCACUUAAAAUUCUAUUGACCCAUAUCUUAAAUAAUCAAACUUCAAUCAACAACUUGCUCCAGUUAUUUUUAAUCCCAGUCAAAAAAGAGGUACAUUAGACCAUAAACAACAUGAAACUUCCGAAAAUUCCCUGGAAACAUUCCAAGAAGGAAGAAGUGAAAUACAAGAUCAAGUGCCACUAUAAUCAUAUACCAAUAUACACCAUAUUUUGAAACACUAUGAAAAGUCCAGCAAAUCUCCAAUCUCUGGGAAACAUAAACUCAAAGCGGUAAAAUUUCUCAAAAUCCGAAACCCUAGAGUUCAAAAAUUAUUUCACUUCUUUCUUUUUUGCGAUUCAUAUAAAGCACCGCACGCAAAAAGCAAAACCAACAUAAUUUUGGGAAAUUCUCAAAGCAGAAUCAUGGAAUAGAAUAUAAAAAAAAAAUAAAAAAUUUAGCCAUAGCAAGAGAUUAUAUACUUGAUGAAGAAAAGCGAUAGAUAUCGCUUUUCUUCAUCUGCAAAUUUUACGAGAAAAUUAUAUGGAGAGAAAUUCAGUGUACAGAGAAAAAAAAGGAAACUCACCGCUACACACUCGAUUCUUCUUGUUUUUUUUUAAAGAUAUGGGUCAGUAAAAUUUUACGUGGGUUGGGUAGAGUUUAGUUGGAUCCGGGUUUGAUUUGGAGAAAUUAUUGUUUUUGCUUAAUCUAAAUUCCAGCCAAUUAAAGAUUGUCACAUCAUUAAUGAAAAGAUUAAUUAUUACUCAUAAAAAAUCUGUUAAGUGAAAGGGUAAUAUAGGUCCAUAUAGAUGGAUGAAAGGGUAUUUUUGAGCCCAAAGGUGGAUGGAGGGUAUUUUUGUUCCAUUCCCUAUACUUGAAGGGUAUGUUAGGCCCUUCUCCGUAAUAUAUAUUACAUUUUUGAACUGUUAAACUAGAAACAAGAUUUAGGAUUUUUCAAGUGGACCAAAAUACAGAUAUUGAUGCCGAGUACUUAAAGUCUGUUGCUUGCCGAUACUCUAAAAGUAGUAGUGUAUUUUUGGAGAAUCUAACAUGAGUGGAGAGUACACGCGCAACUUAGCUUAAAUUGUGUUGGUCCAAAAGGAAUGCCCCUUGAUACCAUAAACAAAAAAUACCAUGUCAGCUUUUUAUUCAAUAAUAGUACAAAGAUGACUGAUCCAAACAAUUUUAAGCUCAAACACAAUGUUAUAAGAAGACAAGAUACGAACUAAUGUCACAAUAUUACAGGUAAAUCGUUUUUUUUUCUUCCUGUUUUUCAAUUAUUAUCAUUAUAGUAUUUUGUAUUCCAAAUCUUAACGAUACUCAUCCAUUGGUAUGGUAUAGAAGAAGUGUUCAAUUUGCUCGACCUCGCCCUGUGUCUCGUUUCCUCUCUUUAUUGGAGCUAGGCUCUCCUUGUAAUUGAAAACCCAACAGCCAGCAAUGUUAAGGUCCAGGUGAAAUCCAAGAUCUGUAACUUGUCUUGUUUUAGGGUCAUAUCGCACCAGCUGUGAAGUUUCUGUGAUCUCGAAAACCAUCUUAUCAUUAUCCAAGAUGUUGCGAGGCCAAUGAGCAUCUAUAUGAGGUUGUACAGUUAGAACUUUGGACCAAUUUCUGUCUUGUUUCAUUACCCACACAUCGUAUAUGGAUGUCAUUGGUUUACCAGGGUCUCCGGUUAACAUAGCAAGUGAGCCGCCAUGCAAUGUAAGUGUCCCCCAAUGUUCACUUGGAAUAUCUGGGACUUGCAUCUCCCCAAACUGUUCGCUGCCCAUGUCAAAAGAGCGAAUCGUGUAGAUCUCAUCAAGGCCCCUACAAAGCCAAUAAUAAACCCCGUUGAGAUAAGUGGCGUCAAGGGGUGCAGAUAAGGUAGAACUGGGAGGGAAUUCAGGAGUAAGGUAUUUCCAUGAAUUGUUGCAUGAGGAAUAGACACAGGCAUAGACACGAUUAUUAGCACCUUGUCCCAGUUCAUCCCAGAACACUCGAAUCCAUACAACCUUAUAAUCUAGAGUCAACAGGUCAAAUCCCAAUCCGAACUGAUGAUCAUGGUCCGAGAAAAAGUACUCAAUCACAAAAGGCGCAGGAGGCAGAGACCUGAACUCUCUGGUGGCAGGAUUCCACAAACCCAAGCAGACAUUGUAUCCAUAAAACUUCUUCUGCACUAAGAAUAAGCCAUUAACUGGACCAGCAACACACGUGAAAUCAGUGAUCCGAAGCUGAAGGAGAGUUUUUUGUUCAGGGGUCACACCUGGAACAAUUUCUUCAGGGAGCAAGGAGAAUACAACAGACCUUACGAUGGGGUGUACACGUGCUACUUUCAAGAUGCAAACAAGGAGGCGGGCACAAUUAUUCUUGUGAUGAAAAUGUUUUUCUAUGAAACUCGGACUUUUGAUGAGAGCAUACCAGUGCUUGCACACACAUUUGAAACGCAAGAGUGAUUCCACUGGCAAUCUCAAUAGAAUAUCAACUACUAGAUCUUCUGGUAAAGGACGGCGACCAUCCAUACUGGUGGAAAUAUAAGUAGAAUGAGGCAACUUACAAACAUAUUGAAAUAGAAUAGAUCUAGAAAACAUGCAUUAAUAGAACACACAGUGCAACGAAGAAGAUCAAGCAGCAGCAUUACCAAUGUGAAGCAAAAAAGGGGAAGUUACACAUUUGACCACUCGGCCACAAAUAUUUAUAUCCGCAAGCCAAUACACAUAUUAUGGGUAAACAUAUUUUUAAAAAUAUUUUGACAAAAUUUCUUGUAGAUCAAUUUGGGAGAAAAGAUCCAAAAUAGUUCUUUAUGUUUGGCUUCAGACUCAAAGUCAUCCCUUCCCUUUCUUUUAUAUGGUGCACUAAUAGUCCUUUAAGUUUCAAGUGUUAGUGCACUUCUAGUCUCUUGAUUAACAUCCAUUUACUCAUUAACGUUUUGAUCCUUUACACAUCCAUUUAUGGCCUCCGCUGUAUACAUUCUGGUACAAAACAAAUUAAUUCUUAGAUUUAUCUUAGCAAUUGCAGAUGAGUCUUCAUUUGUACUUCGUUUUAUAUUUUGGCUCUGCAUCUUUCAUUGUUUGGUGUGCAGUAUUCAAGAUUUGCUAAUUCUUUAACUUUCUCCUUUAUUUUCGAUACACAAUUAAUAAGCUGACUAAGUCUUUGGGUUUUUCCUGAAUAAAAGUUUCUUGCGCUUUGCCUAUAUAUCUGGAGCAUAACCAAAGAAUAAAUAAAAACAAGAAAAAAGGAAAAAUAUAAUACAUACUUAGUCUUCGUGUAUCAAUAUCUCAAAUUAGCAUCGGAUAAAGGGUGUGUUCCGUAGAAAAUAGUUUCUAAUCAAAAUUUUUGGAAAAGAUUUUCUUAGGAAAACAAGUUCCAUACGUGACACUUCAAAAUUCAAAUGAAGAAAAUGACUUUCUAAAGGAAGUAGGGAAAACAAGUUUCAUAUGUGACAUUUCAAUUGAGUAUGUCCUCCCACUCUCUAAGACACCACAUAUUCACCUCACUCCCGUAGCUUCCAUACCCACUACCCUACACAUCUACCCCACCUCCGUCCCUCAUAGUAUUGUCUAGAUAAUACAUAAAUGCUUUUAGAAUAAUAUUAAAUUUUUUUUGCUUAUAUACCAAACACAAAAUAUACAUAAGAAUCUCACUUAUUUUCCUAGAAAAUAUUUUUCAAAAAAUAUUUUCCUUGGUACCGUACACACCCAAAGUUCCAAUGUCCUCGGAUAAUAUCAGCCAAAUAGAGUCAAUAAGAGGAGACUAGUAAAGAAGUAGUCAUGUGGUUUUCUAGUCUUUUCAUUAACUAGUCAAUAAUUAUUUUUGAGCUACAAAUCAAAUUAGCAUAUAGAGCAAUUUUGCAGGUAAUUUAAGGAGCAUGAAACAGUAAAUACCCUUUUCUGCUAAUAUCAAUCUACAAAUCCUUGGAAAUGGAACAAUUUUAACUUACCCAAUAUUGAAAUGUAAAAGAUGGAAAGAAGUAAAAAGAAUUAGCAUAAACAGAAACAAUGGCAGCAAAACCCUAUAUCCAUCCCCAAACAGCACAAAUUCAGAUUCAGAUUCAAAUUCAAAAUAAUAAUCAGAAAUCUAACCUUAUAAGCUGAUGAAGAAGAAGUGGCGGACAAGGAAAAAAUGGAAAAAGAGAUAUCGGAUCGAUUGAUUGGUGUUGUAGAAAUACCUCAACAGUUGACUACUUCCUCACACUUCUUUCGUCAUUUUAUUUUACUACUUCUUGGGAACGCGUUUGUUCCUCUCCUUUUUUUUUCUCGCGUGUGUUCCUUAUUAUUAUUAAAUUUUUAUAUACUAAAAAGUUGAGUUAUAAAAUAGAAAAUGCUGAAAUUAACAAUAGUAGUUUUAUCAUUUAUAUUUUAUUUACUAAAUAAUAAAAAAUAUAUACUGGAGCAUUUUUUGUUAACCUUCAUUUGUUGUUUCUCACUCUCUUUUCUUCUCAUGUUGAAAUUUGAUUGUGCAAUUACCUUCCUAUGAUAACAUCAAUCUUUGUGAAAUUGGUUCUUAAAAAGCAAAUUCAAAUUUUAAUUUUGGAAGUGUUUUUACAUAAUAGUGGAGAAUGAUUCUUCAUAUUCAACUUUUAAUUUUGAAUUGUAAUGAACAAUUACUAUUCAAAUACAAAUCUAGUUUAUUUUUAACCUUACAUUUAUUGAAUCUUUAAUGUGUACGUUAAUGAUAUAUAAUAAUUUAUUAAUUAGGUAUUUGAUUUAGUGUAGGGGCAAAAUGGUAAUUCAACUAUACACUUUCGAGUUUUCACUUUUAAUAAGUAAUUAUAAUAUAUACAAAAGAUUAAACCAUUUGAUAUUAAAAAAAUAUAUGUAUGAGUAAUAAUUAACAUUCAAUGGCAAAAGAAUGUAUCACAUUCUCAUAAACAAUAUCUCUAAGGCAAAAGUAGACAUUCUAAUUUGGACAAUUACUACUUAACUACUUAUGGGUUCAGCCAAUAAUCUGGAGAUAGGAGUUUGACAAUUUUUCAGCCAUAGUUAAAAUUCUACAUCAAUAAUAAAUAGCUUCUUAUCACAGUAAAUAGACAUUUGAAUAAUUAAUAUAAAUUGAGCAACACAAACUUUUCAAAAUGACUUAUUCUAGAUAUAUAAUAGGGAAAAGGGUCAAAAUUACCCCUCAGUUUUGUUUUAUUGGUUAACUUUAUCCUUACCAUUAAAAACAAGUUAUUUUUACCCCUGUCGUCAAUAAACUUAACAAAUAUACCCCUCCUUGAACGGAAACCCCCAAAUCAAUUGAAAUUACCCGAUUUUAAUUGAAAUUAUCCAAUUUCUUUUUUAACCCGAACUAGAACCCAACCCACUAAACUAAACAAAUUAACCCAUUUCCAAUCUUCUUCAUCUCAGUGUUCUUGGCUAAGUACCCUAAGAACACUCACAAUCUUUAUCAUAGCUAACACAUAAAUCCUACAUUGUCUGACAAAAUCAAUUGAAAAGGUUCGUUGGUUGAAUGUAUAACAAGUAAAUUAUUUUUGCUGAACAACAUCCCGCCUCUCUCUGUUGUGGGGUUCAGCGAAGAACAAGCCACAGAGCAAGUAAAUGGAAAAGUUUCAAUUUACACAUCAUCAUUCAAUCCAAUGAAGAAAACCAUUUCUAGGUACCAACCAAAUUACUUUUUGAUUUGUUGUCAGUAGGCUGCCCCUAAAUGUGUACCCAAUAGUACAUCUAAUUCUUCUUUACCUGGCUCGUAAAUCAAUUCAGUGGCCCUCCAUGAUUCUUGUAUGUGCACGUAAAAUUAAGCUACAAUGGAGGGGAGGUUUUUCUUUUCUCUAUCUUUUUAUUUGUUCAAAAUGUUUCCAAUAUAUCAUCAUAUUUGAUGAGUACUGGAUAUUUGAUGAUUACUGAUUUCUUGUAUGUAGCAAAUCAUGUGAUUGAACGACUGCAGUGUUUAGCCUAGGCAACCUUCAACAAACAAUUUGGAGAUAAAUAUCAGGUCUUUUCGAUUGAUUUUGUUAGACAAUGUAGAAUUUGUGUUAGCUAUGAUAAAGAUUGUGAGUGUUCUUAGGGUACUUAGCCAUGAACACUGAGAUGAAGAAGAUUGGAAAUGGGUUUAUUUGUUUAGUUUAGUGGGUUGGGUUCUGGUUCAGGUUAAAAAAGAAAUUGGAUAAUUUCAAUUAAAAUUGAAUAAUUUCAAUUGAUUUGGGGAUUUCCGUCCAAGGAGGGAUAUAUUUGUUAAGUUUAUUGACGGCAGGGGUAAAAAUAACUUGCUUUUAACGGUAAGAGUAAAAUCAACCAAUAAAAUAAAGUUGAUGGGUAAUUUUGACCCUUUUCUCUAUAUAACAUAUAUGGACAAUUUGAGGAAUGAAUGUUUCAACACAUGAAUAAUAGACUAAUAAGGUCAAUAGAUUAUACAUAUAAAUGAAAAGUUAAAUAAAAAUACAGCCUCAAAAUCACAUACUAUGAUCCAUCAUUUAUCUCCAAUUCGGUGGCCCAGUUUAUUUUAGGGUAUGGAUUCUUUUAUUUUUAAAAAAAAAACAUAUUUGAUUUUUCUCAUUUAGUUAUUCCUCUCCCUACUCAUAAAUAAUAAUCUCGAAAAAAUAUUUUUACUAAAGUAGAACACUCUAUCAAGAGCCAAAUAAACAUAUCAAAUUAACUAAUUAAUCUUUCAUCAAUUAUUGAUAGAACAUGAAUUGUAUAUCACUACUUUCUUCAUGUAGGAUACAAGAUAUUUCAAUAGAAAAACAAAAUCAUAAGAAAGCAUAUCAAAAUAUAAAAAAAGGACAUAUAAAAUACUUUGGCUGGACAAGGAGGAGCGGAUAAAAACAAAAGGAAAUUACUGCACAUACAAAAUGAUGAGCAAGAUUAGUUUUUUGCAGGAUAGUCUCUCAUCCUCCUCUUAUCAUUUACAUGAAAACCAUGCUAGGCAUUUUAUAGCAAUAGCUAGGAUGACCUUUGAGUAGAUAAUUAAUUUGCAUUAAUUUAGUUUAAUGAUUUUAGUCCAUAUCAAAUUUAUUUAAUGGAAAACUCUUCAAAUACUCUUGAUUUUACAGAAAAAGAGAAAUUGACUAUUAAUGUGAAUUUGAUUCAUGUACCAAUUUAAAUGAGUUUAAUCUAAGGAAGUGAAAAAAUCAUUAACAUUUUUAUUAAAACGAUACAAUUUAAUAUUUAAAUUAAAUAGUUAAAUAUUUUAUAACAUUUUAAUUUAUAAUAGGGGUAAAACGGUAAUUCAACUUUUAACUUUUUUUAUUCCCGCUUAUAGUAAUAUAUGAUACAACUCCUCUUAAUUCCUUUUAUCUAAGUUUUUAAUUAUGUGGUGGAGUAAUAAGUACUUAUUCAUUCUUAAUUAGAGGUUCCAGUUUGAGUCUUUUUGGCUAUAAAAUCAUCUCUGUUAGAGCGCUUUACCCAUAAUCUAAGAUUUUUCGACACAAAUUCAAAUUUAGUGAGGCUCUAAUAUGGAUAUCGAACACUGAGGGGAAAAUAAAAAUAAAAAUUACCUUAGGGGUUAUUUGGUAGGUGGAUAAAGCUACAUCUAAUACAUGAAUAACAAAGUUAUUUAUGUAUUUAAUUUAUAUAAUGUUUGUAUAAAAGUUAUUCAUAUAUUAACAAAGAUGUUUCUCUCUACGAUAUGUUCCCACAGGAGAAAGAGUUUGUUACUUGAAGAGGGGGGGGGGGGAUGUUGNNNNNNNNNNNNNNNNNNNNNNNNNNNNNNNNNNNNNNNNNNNNNNNNNNNNNNNNNNNNNNNNNNNNNNNNNNNNNNNNNNNNNNNNNNGAAGGGGGGGGGGGGGUAUUUGGAGUCUUUUAGCCACAGUUCGAAGCCCUGACAUAUCGAUCUCUUUUAGCCACGGUUCAAGGUCCCAACGUAUUUUGUUUUGCCACGGUUCAAGGUCCCGACGUAUUUUAUUUUGCCACGGUUCGAGGCCCCAUCAUAUCUCUAUUCGCCUUGGUUCGAAUCCUAACAUGUGGUUCAUUUGGGUUCUUCGGGGUGCCUUCACCAAAGUUCAAGUCUAGAGUCAGCCAUUUUAAGUUCUUGAAAGCUUUUAAUAUAACUAGUGUUAUUCAUAGUACUUCUGUGUACUUAUCAGGCUUAUGUGAGUCCAAACUCGUUUGAGUUAUUUACUUUCCAAUUGCGCACAGGUAUACAUACUUUCUGGGCUUAUAGGGGUCCAGUUAGGUUAUAGAUAAUUGUUUUACUUUACUACUUUGUUCUUUCCAGACUCGUGAGCUAUAUAGUUAGACUUUCCGUUAUUACUUUGUUCAUUUGACCUCUAAUUACCGUUACAUUCAUAUUUUUCAUAUUGUUUUUACUUUCCAUGCCCAGUCGACCUAUGAUGCUACUGGGCACCUGUUGUUUUGAUAUUAUGCUACACUCCACAUCUGUUUUCUUGAUGUAGAUUUGAGCGCCAGCUGAUAAUGGUGAUUCGAGCCUAAGAAAUGCGGAGAUCUUCUGAGAUGAAGGGUGAGCUGAUGGCAUCCUAGUUCGACUUAUCUCCAUAUGUAUAUAGUUUUUUAAUGUCUUUUGUAUUCGAGACAAGUCUAUUAAGUUAGUGAAUAGCAUAGGCUCGAAACUAUGACUAGAACAUUGAGUGCAUGACAUGCACAUCUUACUCCUUAUUUUCCCUAUUCGUACCUGUUUUUUUCAUACUUUCUAACUUCACUGGUACAUUAUUCCUUGUUAAGGAAAAUUAUGUAAACAACUAGUUCUUUGAUUGAUACAACUAAUUCACAUUAAAUAAUAACUAGAAUCUUAUUACAUUUUUGAACUGUUAAACUAGAAACAAGAUUUAGGAUAAGGGAACUAUUUAUUAACUUCACUUCUCCUUAUUAGUGUCAAAAGUUUCUCGUUUAGGAAAUAUGAAGUUUUGAAGGACUAAUAGUAUAUUAUCCUUUUUUAAAAUUGAACUCUAUCCAAUGGUUGAUUCUAUUUAUGAAUCAAUUCCUUAGGUGCAUUAUUUCCAUAGGUUUCAACAUUGGUAACAAAAUCUAGCUUUCUCGCUUAAAUUGACAUAUUUCUAUACUUCCCUCAUCUUAUCUAUCACUGAGGCCGCUCCCAUCUUAUCCCUUAUAUCCUUAUUUAUAAUUUUUAUCGCUCCGAGUAUGAACGUGCAUCCACCUCAAUAUAUAUUCACAUCUCUGCAACAUGCAUCUUCUAGACAUGGGACUUGACUGGCCAACUCUCAUUUCCAUACAACAAUUACAUACACACUCUAUAUAAAUACACACAUACAUAUAUUGAUGGAAAAAUCAUCAACAGAUGAAACUUAAGCAAUACUCCCUCCAUCUCAAUUAAUGUGACAGUCGGAAUUUUGUCUUUUAAAUUGUUAAUUAUUGUGAUUUACCAUUUUUCACAUAAUUUUCAAAUACAUAAAUUUUAUAUCAAAAAAACUUAAAGUUUCUGUAUCCGAAUUUACUAUUAAAUUAUAGAAGUUUGAAUCUCAAAAUUUCAACUAAUGCCACAUAAAUUAAAUCAACUCCAACACUCAGAAAAGCUACAAAAGUUCAAACAUAGAAAGUAAAAAAAAAUUUAAAAAAGAAAUAGAAAAAACCUUGAGAUAAUAUGUCUUGCUAAUUUCCUCUUCAGAUGCUAAUUAAAGGACUUACACCAAGAACAUCAUAAUACUCUGUGUCUUUCACCAUUUUCUUUUCUUUUUCCAAAAUCCCUAUUAACAAAAAAUUUACUCUUUUACCUCCUCCAAUACUCUAAUUACCUUUUUUUUCGCGCUUCUAAAAUCUUAAUACAAGAGCGAAAAACCACUUGAGUGUAAGGAAAGGAAACAAGCCAAACGAAAAAAAAAAAAAAAACUCUCAAAAUUAUAUGAUCAAGAAAACUUGCAAGUACAAAAGGAGAAAGAGGAGGGGGUGGGUGGGGUAUGAUGAAAAGAAUGUCUCAGAAUAAGAGAGUGCCCCAACGAGACAAAGCUGCCUUUCCAGUUCUGAUCAACAAAUUAAUUACGGAAAAUCUGUUGCUUGUCGAUACUCUAAAAGCAGUGUAUUUUUGGAAUUAAGAGGAGUUGUAUAAACUAAAAUGACAAAAGAAGUGUAGGAAAGUGAGGAAGUAGUCAACUGUUGAGGUAUUUCAACAACACCACUCAAUCAAUCCAAUAUCUCUUUUUCCAUUUUUACCUUGUCGUAAUUGCGGCACUUCUUCUUCAUCAGCUUAUAAGGUUAGAUUUCUGAUUAUUUUUUUGAAUCUGAAUCUGAAUCUGAAUUUGUGCUAUUUGGGGAUGGAUAUAGGGUUUUGCUGCCAUUGUUUCUGUUUAUGCUAAUUUUUUUUAUUUCUUUCCAUCUUUUACAUUUCAAUAUUGGGUAAGUUAAAAUUGUUUCUUUUCCAAGGAUUUGUAUAUUGAUAUUAGUAGAAAAGGGUAAUUACUGUUUCAUGCUCCUUAAAUUACCUGCAAAAUUGUUCUAUAUGCUAACUUGAUAUGUAGCUCAAAAAUACCUAUUGACUAGUUAAUGAAAAGUCUAGAAAACCACAUGACUACUUCUUUACUAGUCUCCUCUUAUUGACUCUAUUUGGCUGAUUAUUGAUCCGUCCAACCCAUUUCAACCCAAAUCGAAAGAAAAAAUCCAAGAUAGUCCUUUAUUUUUGGCUUUAGAUUCGAAAUCAUCAAUUGAUGCACUAAUAGUCCUCCAAAGUUUUAAGUAUUAGUGCACUUUUAUCUGAUGCUAAUUUGAGAUAUUGAUACACGAAGACUAAGUAUGUAUUAUAUUUUUCCUUUUUUCUUGUUUUUAUUUUAUUCUUUGGUUAUGCUCCAGAUAUAUAGGCAAAGCACAAGAAACUUUUAUUCCGGAAAAACCCAAAGACUUAUAGUCAGCUUAUUAAUUGCUUAUGGAAAAUAGAAGAGAAAGUUAAAGAAUUAGCAAAUUUUGAAUGGUGCACACCAAACAUUGAAGAUGCAGAGCCAAAAAAUAAAACAAGUACAAAUGAAGACUCAUCUGCAAUUGCUAAGAUAAAUCUAACAAUUAAUAUGUUUUGUACCAGAACGUAGACAGUGGAGGUUAUAAAUGGGUGUGUAAAGGAUCAAAACGUUAAUGAGUAAAUGGAUGUUAAUGAAGAGACUAAAAAUGCACUGACACUUGAAACUUAAAGAACUAUUAGUGCACUAUAUAAAAGAAAGGGAAGGGAUGACUUUGAGUCUGAAGCCAAACAUAAGGAACUAUUUUGAAUCUUUUCCAAACAAUGUUAAGCUCAAACACAAUGUUAUAAAAAGGUAAGAUAAGAACUAAUGUCACAAUAUUACAGGUAAAUCGUUUUUUUUUCCUGUUUUUCAAUUUUUAUCACUAUAAUAUUCUGUAUGUCAAACUCUAAGAUCCUCAUCCAUUGGUAUGGUAUAGAAGUAGUGUUCAAUUUGCUCGACUGCAUUAUCCUCACCCUGAGUCUCGUUUCCUCUCUUUAUUGGAACUAGGCUCUCCUUGUAAUUGAAAACCCAACAGCCAGAAAAGAUAAGGUCCAGCUGAAAUCCAAGAUCUGUAACUUGUCUUGUUUCAGGGUUAUAUAGCACUAGCUGUGAAGUUUCUGUGAUCUCGAAAACCAUCUUAUCGUUAUCCCAGAUGUUGUAAGGCCAAUGAGCAUCUAUAUGAGGUUGAAGAGUAAGAACUUUGGACCAAUUUCCCCCUUGUUUCAUUACCCACACAUCGUAUAUGGAUGUCAUUGGUUUGCCAGGGUCACCGGUUAAUAUAGCAAGUGAGCCGCCAUGCAAUGUAAGCUUCCCCCAAUGUUCACUUGGAAUAUCUGGGACUUGCAUCUCCCCAAACUGUUCGCUGCCCAUGUCAAAAGAGUGAAUCGUGUAGAUGUCAUCAAGGCCCAUAGAAAGCCCAUAAUAAACCCCGUUGAGAUAAGUGGCGUCAAGGGGUGCAGAUAAGGUAGAACUGGGAGGGAAUUCAGGAGUAAGGUGUUUCCAUGAAUUGUUGCAUGAGGAAUAGACAUAGGCAUAGACACGAUUAUUAGCACCUUGUCCCGGUUCAUCCCAGAACACUCGAAUCCAUACAACCUUAAAAUCUUGAGUCAACAGGUCAAAUCCCAAUCCGAACUGAUGAUCAUGGUUCGGGAAAAAGGCCUCAAUCUCAAUAGGCGCAGGAGGCAGAGACCUGAACUCUCUAGUGGCAGGAUUCCACAAACCCAAGCAGAUAUCGUCUCCAAACUUCUUCUGCACUAAGAAUAAGCGAUCAACUGGACCAGCAAGACACGUGAAAUCAGUGAUCCUCGGAAGCUGAAGGAGAGUUUUUUGUUCAGGGGUCACACCUGGAACAAUUUCUUCAGGGAGCAAGGAGAAUACAACAGACCUUACGAUGGGGAGUACUUCACAUGCUACUUUCAAGUUGCAAACAAGGAGACGGGCACAAUUGUUCUUGUGAUGAAAAUGUUUUUCUAUGAAACUCGAACUUUUGAUGAGAGCAUACUAGUGCUUGCACACACAUUUGAAACACAAGAGUGAUUCCACUGGCAAUCUCAAUAGAAUAUCAACUACUAGAUCUUUUGGUAAAGGACGGCGACCAUCCAUACUAGUGGAAAUAUAAGUAAAAUGAGACAACUUACAAACAUAUUGAAAGAGAACAGAUCUAGAAACAUGCUUUAAUAGAACACGCAGUGCAACGAAGAAGAUCAAGCAGCAUCAUUACCAUGUGAAACAAAAAAGGGGAAGUUGCACAUUUGAUCACUCAGCCACAAAUAUUUACAUCAGCAAGCCAAUACACAUAUAUUAUGGGUAUACAUAUUUUUAAAAAUAUUUUGACAAUUUCUUGUAGAUCAAUUUGGGAGAAAAGAUCCAAAAUAGUUCCUCAUGUUUGGCUUCAGACUCAAAGGAUGGAGUAAUAAGUACUUAUUCAUUGUUAAUUAGAGUUCUCGGGUUUGAGUCUUUUUGGCUAUGAAGUCAUCUGUGUUAGGGAGCGCUUUACCCACAAUGUGAGAUUAUUCAGCACAAAUUCAAAUUUAGUGGGGGAUCUAAUAUGGAUACCAAACACCGAGUGGAAAACCAAAAAUAAAAAUAAAAAUGACCUUAGGGGUCAUUUGAUAGGUGGAUAAAGCUACAUUUAAUACAUGAAUAACAAAGUUAUUUAUGUAUUUAAUUUAUAUAAUAUUUUGUUUGUAAAAUGUUGUAUAAAAGUUAUUCGUGUAUUAACAAAGAUGUUUAUCUCUACGAUAUGUUCCCGCAGGAGAAAGAGUUUGUUAUUUGAAGAGGGGGGGGGGGUAUUUGGAGUCUUUUAGCCACAGUUCGAAGCCCUGGCGUAUCUCUUUUAGCCACGGUUCAAGGCCCCAACAUAUUUUUUUGGCACGGUUCGAGGCCCCAACAUAUCUCUAUUCGCCUUGGUUUGAAUCCUAACAUGUGGUUCAUUUGGGUUCUUCGGGUGCCUUCGCCAUAAUUCAAGUCUGGAGUCGGCCAUUUCAGUUCUUGAAAGCUUUUAAUCUAGCUAAUGUUAUUCAUAGUACUUCCGUGUACUUAUCGGACUUAUGUGAGUCCAAACUUGUUUGAGUUAUAUAUUUACUUUCUAAUUGUGCACGAGUAUACAUACUUUCUGGGCUUAUAGAGGUCCAAUUAGGUUAUAGAUUAUUGCUUUACUUUACUACUUUGUUCUUUUUAGACUCGUGAGCUAUAUAGUUAGACUUUCCGUUAUUGCUUUGUUCAUUUGACCUCUAAUUAUUGUUACUUUCAUAUUCUUCAUAUUGUUUUUACUUUCCAAGCUCAGUCGACCUAUGAUGCCUACUGGGCACCUGUUGUUCUGAUAUUCAUGCUACACUCCACAUCUGCUUUCUUGAUGUAGAUUUGAGCGCCUGCCGACAACAGUGAUUCGAGCCUAAGUAAUGCGGAGAUCUUCUGAGAUGAAGGGUGACCUAAUGGCGUCCUAGUUCGACUUAUCUCCAUAUGUAUAUAAUUUUUUCCUAUCUUUUGUAUUCGAGACAAGUUUAUUAAGUUAGUCAAUAGCAUAGGCUCGAAACUAUGACUAGAACAUUGAGUGCAUGACAUGCACAUCUUACUCCUUAUUUUCCUUAUUCGUACCUAUUUUUGUUCAUACUUUCUAAAUUUCACUAGUACAUUAUCCCUUGUUAAGGAAAAUUAUGUAUCCAGAAUAGUAAAUGGUCUGAUCCACUUAAGAGUGAAGGCUAGUUCAUUGAUUGAUACAUCUAAAUCACAUUAAAUAAUAUAUAUUACAUUUUUGAACUGUUAAACUAGAAACAAGAUUUAGGAUUUUUCAAGUGGACCAAAAUACAGAUAUUGAUGCAGAGUACUUAAAGUCUGUUGCUUGCCGAUACUCUAAAAGUAGUGUAUUUUUGGAGAAUCUAACAUGAGUGGAGAGUACAUGCGCAACUUAGCUUAAAAUGUGUUGGUCCAAAAGGAAUGCCCCUUGAUACCAUAAACAAAAAAUACCAUGUUUGCUUUUUAUUCAAUAAUAGUACAAAGAUGACUGAUCCAAACAAUUUUAAGCUCAAACACAAUGUUAUAAGGUAAGAAAAGAACUAAUGUCACAAUAUUACAGGUAAAUCGUUUUUUUUCUUCUUCCUGUUUUUCAAUUUUUAUCAGUAUAAUAUUAUGUAUUACAAAUCUUUAAGAUCCUCAUCCAUUGGUAUGGUAUAGAAGAAGUGUUCAAUUUGCUCGACUGCAUUAUCCUCACCCUGAGUCUCGUUUCCUCUCUUUAUUGGAGCUAGGCUCUCCUUGUAAUUGAAAACCCAACAGCCAGCCAUGUUAAGGUCCAGCUGAAAUCCAAGAUCUGUAACUUGUCUUGUUUUAGGGUCAUAUAGCACCAGCUGUGAAGUUUCUGUGAUCUCGAAAACCAUCUUAUCGUUAUCCCAGAUGUUGCGAGGCCAAUGAGCAUCUAUAUGAGGUUGUACAGUUAGAACUUUGGACCAAAUUCCCUCUUGUUUCAAUACCCACACAUCAUAUAUGGAUGUCAUAGGUUUGCCUGGGUCACCGGUUAAUAAAGCAAGUGAGUUGCCACGCAGUGUAAGCGUCCCCCAAUGUUCACUUGGAAUAGCUGGGACUUGCGUCUCCCCAAACUGCUCGCUGUCCAUGUCAAAAGUGCGAAUCGUGUAGAUCUCAUCAAG
This 19266-nucleotide long non-coding RNA is filed under the name Solanum tuberosum (potato). Its description in RNAcentral is "long non-coding RNA (STUB_LNC005037)". The record is from RNAcentral. Lineage: Eukaryota; Viridiplantae; Streptophyta; Magnoliopsida; Solanales; Solanaceae.